UUUAUGGGAUUUUGAGAAGUAUGGGAAAUUCUGGGGAGAAUUUUGGGGUCAAUUUAUGGGAUUUGGGGAGAAAUUUGGGUCAUUUUGGGGUGAAUGUAUGGAAUUUUGGAGAGAGUUGGGGGGAAUUGGGGUCAUUUUGGGAUCGUUUUGUGGGAUUUGGGGGAGAAUUGGGGAAAGUUUGGGUCAUUGGGUAUCAUUUUAUGGGAUUUUGGGGGAAAUUUGGGUCAUUGGGGAUCAUUUUAUGGGAUUUUGGGGAGAAUUGGGUGAAAUUUGGGUCAUUUGGGGUCAUUUUAUGGGAUUUUGGGGGAGAAUUGGGUCAUUUGGGGUCAUUUUAUGGGAUUUUAGGGAGAAUUGGGGGAAAUUUGGGUCAUUUUGGGUCAAUUUAUGGGAUUUGGGGGGAAAUUUGUGUCCUUUUGAGGUCAUUUCAUGGGAUUUUAGGGAGAAUUGGGUGAAAUUUGGGUCAUUUGGGGUCUAUUUAUGGGAUUUUGGGGGAAAUUUGUGUCCUUUUGGGGUCAUUUUAUGGGAUUUUGGGGAGGAUUUCGGUCAUUCUGGGGCAUUUGAUGGGAUUUUGGGGGAAAUUUGUGUCCUUUUGGGGUCAUUCUAUGGGAUUUUAGGGAGAAUUGGGGAAAUUUGGGACAUUUGGGAUCAGUUUAUGGGAUUUGGGGGGAAAUUUGGGUCAUUUUGGGUCAUUUUAUGGGAUUUUGGGGAGAAAUGUGGAAAAUUUGGGUCACUUGGGGUCAUUUUAUGGGAUUUUAGGGAGAAUUGGGGGAUAUUUGGGCCAGUUUGGGGUCAUUUUAUGGGAUUUUGGGGAGAAAUGGGGGAAACUUGGGACAUUUUGGGUCAAUUUAUGGGAUUUUGGGGGAAAUUUGGUCAUUUGUGGUCAUUUUAUGGGAUUUUGGGGGAGAAUUGGGGGAAAUUUGGGUCAUUUGGGGUCAAUUUAUGGGGUUUGGGGGGAAAAUUUGGUCAUUUUGGGUCAUUAUAUGGGAUUUUGGGGAGAGUUAUGGGAAAUUUGGGAUCAUUUUAUGGGAUUUUGGGGCGAGAUGUGGGAAAUUUGGGUCAUUUUGGGUCAUUUUAUGGGAUUUUGGGGGAGAAUUGGGGAAAUUUGGGUCAUUUUGGGUCAAUUUAUGGGAUUUGGGGGGAAAUUUGGGUCAUUUGGGAUCAUUUUAUGCGAUUUUGGGGAGAAUUGGGGAAAUUUGGGGUCAUUUUAUGGGAUUUUGGGGAGAAUUUUGGGGUGAUUUCGGGGGUUUUUUGGGGUUGCUGAGCCCCCCUCUGUAUUUCAGCUCCUCCUGGCUCUGCUGCUGGUUGGGGUCAAAGCGGCCCCGCCCUUCCUGGAGGAGCCGUCCAAUGGCAGCGUGGCGUUGGGGAAGGAGGCGGAGCUUCGCUGCGCCGUGCGGGGGGGCGUGGCCGUGCAGUGGGCGCGGGGGGGGCUGCUGCUGGGAGCGCUGCCAAGCCCCGCCCACCCGCGGUACCGAUUGGUCGGCGAUACGGGGAAAGGUGCGGAAGGGGCGGGGCUAAAGGGAGAGGAGAGAGGCGAUUGGGCGGGGAAGGAAGGGGCGUAGCCGACGUGGGGCGCGGCCAAUGGGUGAUGGUAGCAGGCAAAGGGGGCGUGGCUUGAGGGGGGGCAGUAGGAAG
Molecule: long non-coding RNA, 1632 nt
Filed under: Phasianus colchicus (ring-necked pheasant)
Lineage: Eukaryota; Metazoa; Chordata; Aves; Galliformes; Phasianidae
Description: lncRNA (ENSPCLG00000017639.1)
Source: RNAcentral